RNAcentral lists this transfer RNA (93 nucleotides) under Candidatus Latescibacterota bacterium. RNAcentral's name for it is "Candidatus Latescibacteria bacterium tRNA-Ser". It matches the Rfam family "tRNA". From Rfam's summary of the family: Transfer RNA (tRNA) molecules are approximately 80 nucleotides in length. Their secondary structure includes four short double-helical elements and three loops (D, anti-codon, and T loops). Further hydrogen bonds mediate the characteristic L-shaped molecular structure. tRNAs have two regions of fundamental functional importance: the anti-codon, which is responsible for specific mRNA codon recognition, and the 3' end, to which the tRNAs corresponding amino acid is attached (by aminoacyl-tRNA synthetases). tRNAs cope with the degeneracy of the genetic code in two manners: having more than one tRNA (with a specific anti-codon) for a particular amino acid; and 'wobble' base-pairing, i.e. permitting non-standard base-pairing at the 3rd anti-codon position. Lineage: Bacteria; Pseudomonadati; Candidatus Latescibacterota. The record is from RNAcentral.
GGAGAGAUGCCCGAGAGGCCGAAGGGGCGCGACUGGAAAUCGCGUGUGGGGCCAAAAGCUCCACCGAGGGUUCGAAUCCCUCUCUCUCCGCCA